AUUUAUAUAGUUUAAUUAAAAUAUAAUAAUUUCAUUAUUAAGAUAUAAUGAUAUUAUAAAUU
RNAcentral lists this transfer RNA (62 nucleotides) under Ceraphron sp. MM-2014. RNAcentral describes it as "tRNA-Glu". Lineage: Eukaryota; Metazoa; Arthropoda; Insecta; Hymenoptera; Ceraphronidae. The record is from RNAcentral.